GUUGAACGCUGGCGGCAGGCCUAAUACAUGCAAGUCGAACGAGAACUUAUUUGAGUUUACUUAAAAAAGUGAAAGUGGCAGACGAGCGAGUAACACGUAUGUAUCUGCCCCGAACUCAGGGAUAACUAGCCGAAAGGUUAGCUAAUACCGGAUAGUCCCGUAAGGGUAAAGCUUUUGCGGUUCGGGAGGAACAUGCGGCCUAUCAGCUUGUUGGUAAGGUAACGGCUUACCAAGGCUAUGACGGGUACCUGGUGUGAGAGCAUGACCAGGCGCGAUGGGACUGAGACACGGCCCAUACUCCUACGGGAGGCAGCAGUAGGGAAUCUUCCGCAAUGGACGAAAGUCUGACGGAGCCAUGCCGCGUGAAGGAUGACGGCCCAUGGGUUGUAAACUUCUUUUAUACGGGAAGAAGAUCUGACGGUACCGUAUGAAUAAGGACCGACUAAUUACGUGCCAGCCGCCGCCGUAACAC
RNAcentral lists this ribosomal RNA (472 nucleotides) under uncultured bacterium. RNAcentral describes it as "bacterial SSU rRNA". It matches the Rfam family "Bacterial small subunit ribosomal RNA", at positions 28 to 526 of the family's 1533-position model. The record is from RNAcentral.